UAGAACAAACAUAACUCGACCGAUUCUUUCAUUCACCGCGUUUAGUGCGCUUCGGACUACUUGGCGAACAGAUCUCCGCUUUAUAGUGCCGUGUUGUGCAAUUAUAACUUGUAAAACAAAAAAUCAGACCUCAAGUAUAGAGCGAGGAGGUAUAUCUUUCGAUCGCAAGUUAUAAAUAGCAUACAUUGCGCGAUGUGUACUCGCCCAAUGAACGCAAUGACCAAGUCAGCUUCCAAUGUACUACAUGCAUUGCGUUCUCUACACUUCAAUCUUUGAAAUUUCGGCCUUUGCCCUGAUUGGCCGUGCAGUUUGUCGAUAGUGAGGUGACCGUGUGGUAAAAUCAUCGACAGAAUUCUCGACUAUAUUUACAUUUGACAUGGAUAAUUUUUGCAUUAUUUUAUAUUUAAUUAAUGAUACCUAGUAUAUUCUUAGUGAGACGUAUUUUGAGUAAAAUAAAUAUGUAUUAUUAUUAUUGAAUUAUUAUCAUUGAAUUAAAGUGAAGGUAUAAUAUAAAGGGACAUGUAGACCUCUAAUUUACGGGUAUUUACUAUAUUGUCUAAGACGUAUUAAAAUCUAAGUAAAAUGCUAUUUGACUUAUGCAGUAAAUUAAAAAUUUUAGGUUUCCUAAAGAACCUAACGCCAGGGAACAAUGGAUUGACGUGACAGGUAGAGGAAACUGGAGACAAAGACGAGUACUAUUUGCUCUAAACAUUUUACUGAAAAUGAUUUUAUCAUAAAAAAAUCAGAAUACACUUAGUUUUGAAAAAUUCAUUCGCAAUUAAUAGCAAGCGCCAACUGCUUAACAAAUACGUUUUAUUCCAGCGACAGUGACUAUUUGUAAUUAAUAAAAGUAAAAUAGUUUUUUUUUUCAAUAUUUA
Long non-coding RNA from Bombyx mori (domestic silkworm), 878 nucleotides. RefSeq lists it as uncharacterized. Lineage: Eukaryota; Metazoa; Arthropoda; Insecta; Lepidoptera; Bombycidae. The transcript has 2 exons. The record is from RefSeq and is a predicted model, not a curated record.